Lathyrus oleraceus (garden pea) is the source of this 618-nucleotide long non-coding RNA. RefSeq lists it as uncharacterized. The record is from RefSeq and is a predicted model, not a curated record. NCBI's taxonomy places the organism in Eukaryota, Viridiplantae, Streptophyta, Magnoliopsida, Fabales, Fabaceae. The transcript has 3 exons.
CCACCAAACACUAAAGUUGCAUCUUACAAAAAUGUCUUUAUCACCACAUUACAUGAUCAAUGCCCAUGUCACACCCCAAAAUUUACCCCUAAAUUUUAUAAUCAUUUGCAUCCUAGACAUCAUUCAUGCUUAGCUAACCUCAAGAUUAAGAUAUACUUGGUUUUGUUUCAUCUAUGAACUAGGGUUUCCCUCAAAGAGCUCAAAGGAUUGAUCAAAGUUUUGGAUUGAUUAUCAAUAAAUCAAGUUCUCAUACACUCAAGAGAUAUCUCUCUCCAUCCUAGAGCUGGUGGUGAGGCGUGUUUCCAAUGAGUGAGCCAAGAACGAUGAAUCAAUAUGGAAUAUUCAAUGUUGAAAACGGAAUGAAGAGUGCAGAGCGCAAAGGAUUUGAGGAUUGAAGUUUUUUGAAGCCCUUCCCCCUGAAACUGAAGCCCUGUUAUAUUAUUGAGUGGACUGGAAGAGUAUGUUGCAGCUUUUUAUCCUGAUAGGAAUUGUUUGAAUUAAAGGUGUUGCACCUUGUUAUUUGUUAAUGGCAGGCAUGUUGUGUGGAUGAUGUAAUUUUGGAUUAACAUUGGUUUUGUAUGGUUGAAUGUUUGGAAUUAUUUGACUUGAUUUUGAAUG